GGUUCAUAAAAAAAAAUUUAAUAAAUUUGAAAUUAAACUAAAAGGACGCGGUAACCUUGACCGUGAUAAUGUAGCAUAAUCACUCGCCAUUUAAUUGAUGGAUAGUAUGAAUGGUUGAACGAAUAUUCCACUGUCUUAAAAAAAGCUAAAAAAAAUUGAAGUAAUAGUAAAGAUGCUAUUAUAAACUGUAAGACGAAAAGACCCUAUAGAGCUUAACUAUAUUCUCUUUAUUUUUAAAAUAAAAUAAUUUAUUAGAUUAAAGAGAUUGGUAGUUUAGUUGGGGCGACUGUUUUCUAAAAAAAACGAAAACAAGCAAUAUUAAUAUUUAAUUUAUUGUAUAAUUAAAAAAUUUAACAAUUACAAAAGUAGGCUAUAAUGACCCGUUACUACUAUAAAAUAAGAGUAACGAUCAAUUAAUAAAAGCUACCUUAGGGAUAACAGGAUAAUUUCAUUUUAGAGUCCAAAUCGAAAAUGAAGUUUGUCACCUCUAUGUUGAAUUAA
Molecule: ribosomal RNA, 501 nt
Filed under: Obelia bidentata
Lineage: Eukaryota; Metazoa; Cnidaria; Hydrozoa; Leptothecata; Obeliidae
Description: partial 16S ribosomal RNA
Rfam family: Bacterial large subunit ribosomal RNA
Source: RNAcentral